This 224-nucleotide ribosomal RNA is filed under the name uncultured bacterium. RNAcentral describes it as "partial 16S ribosomal RNA". It matches the Rfam family "Bacterial small subunit ribosomal RNA", at positions 116 to 334 of the family's 1533-position model. The record is from RNAcentral.
CGGGGGAACCGUGCCCCAUAGUCUGGGAUACCACUUGGAACAGGUGCUAAUACCGGAUAAGAAAGCAGAUCGCAUGAUCAGCUUUUAAAAGGCGGCGUAAGCUGUCGCUAUGGGAUGGCCCCGCGGUGCAUUAGCUAGUUGGUAAGGUAAAGGCUUACCAAGGCGAUGAUGCAUAGCCGAGUUGAGAGACUGAUCGGCCACAUUGGGACUGAGACACGGCCCAA